CCUACGGGAGGCAGCAGUGAGGAAUAUUGGUCAAUGGACGAGAGUCUGAACCAGCCAAGUAGCGUGAAGGAUGACUGCCCUAUGGGUUGUAAACUUCUUUUAUAUGGGAAUAAAACGUUCCACGUGUGGGAUUUUGUAUGUACCAUAUGAAUAAGGAUCGGCUAACUCCGUGCCAGCAGCCGCGGUAAUACGGAGGAUCCGAGCGUUAUCCGGAUUUAUUGGGUUUAAAGGGAGCGUAGGUGGAUUGUUAAGUCAAUUGUGAAAGUUUGCGGCUCAACCGUAAAAUUGCAGUUGAAACUGGCAGUCUUGAGUACAUGAGAGGUGGGCGGAAUUCGUGGGGUAGCGGUGAAAUGCUUAGAUAUCAGGAAGAACUCCGAUUGCGAAGGCAGUUCACUGGACUGCAACUGACACUGAGGCUCGAAAGUGUGGGUAUCAAACAGGAUUAGAUACCCUAGUAGUC
This 460-nucleotide ribosomal RNA is filed under the name uncultured bacterium. RNAcentral describes it as "partial 16S ribosomal RNA". It matches the Rfam family "Bacterial small subunit ribosomal RNA", at positions 338 to 795 of the family's 1533-position model. The record is from RNAcentral.